Molecule: long non-coding RNA, 2944 nt
Organism: Mauremys mutica (yellowpond turtle)
Lineage: Eukaryota; Metazoa; Chordata; Testudines; Geoemydidae
Exons: 3
Source: RefSeq, a predicted model, not a curated record
CUGACAAUGGCCAGGCAGAAAAAGGCUGCAGGGCUGGGGCACUCUCAGAGACCCCCAGGGCUUUGCUGCAGCAAGUCUCUUCUCAAGGUCUCCUCUUUAGGACUGAAAGAGAACUCAGAUUCCCGUAUGUGAGGGUCUUUGGAAAUAUCUUCUUGGAGGGGCAGAGAAGGUCAUUCCUCCAAACAGCAACUCUGGCUAUCUACGACCCCUGCUCCAGAUCAGUCAGGCUUGGCUGGUCCUAGCAUACUCCAUUCUGGGGGAAGCCAACCAGCUAAUAGGCGAUGAGCAGGCGGACAUCUUGGCCAAGGUAAUGCACCAGUUCCACACCAUCAGUUCCUUUUGCUAGCUGCCUGAGGUAGUGCAGGGGCUGUGCUUCUUGGUACGCCUGUGAUGGGGUGUAUGAGAAAUUAGAUCGCAGUCCAGGGCCACUGUGAUCCCACCCCACUGAAACUGCAGAACCUGCUCCAGAUGGAGGAGGAGUGUGGUGAAGCAGAGAAACCACCCACCAGCACAGAAGGGGUUAAGGAGAGCCUUUGGACCCAACCAGCCCUGCAUCAUUAUACUUGCAGCUAAUGCCAGGCGAGUAGGGGAGAGAAAAGGAGAGAACCUGACUCAGUUUGGGGCUGACUGGUGAAGAGACAGGACCUAGCUGCCUCCCCAACUGAGGGAAGGAUCACUAGCCUGCCAGCCAAGGCAGCCACCAGGAACCCAGCACUGUCUUCUGGAUCAAAGGAGAUGGGGAAAGAGUCCUAGGAGCACCCAGCCUUAGAGGAACCUGGGUGACAGAAGUACAGAGUCCUUGUGGGGGUUCUGACCCCACCAAACUUACAGCUACCCCACCUGGAGGAACCUGGGACCUCAGCAGGAUAGCCACCACAGGCACUUGGAUUAUAGGGGCCAUGCCCCAAACUGAAGGGGCAACAGUAGGAAGUAGCUCAGGACACCAAAUGUAGACUUCCCCUAGGGAGAUCUCCUACUCCGGGGUUAACUUACACAGGGCUCUAGGUUGGGACCUGGUGGAGUGGGAGGUCCUGGGUUCCCCUACUGCCCUGUGCCUUAAAGACUGAGGCACCUUGACGACAGAAGCAGGAGGCAGGAAGCCACGUACUACAACCACUAGACCAACUGACCCUCCAAAUCCUCUGUUUACAAGGCGUUUAGAGGACAGCUCAGAAGUGAGAGAGAUAGCAGAGAACAAGAGACUUAUCUUGGGAGCGCCUGAACAAGGGUGCAGCAGGAGUCUUGGCUGCAGGAAUGGUUUUGCUAGCAGCAGCUACCCCAGGCCUGAGAGAAGGGGCUAGCCCUUCGCUAAGACUAGGCUCUAACUUCUGGAGGAUCACUGGUAUGGCAUUUAACUAUAUGCCAAGAGGGAGGGCCCGGGCUCCCAUAUGAACCACCCUUUUUGUGGACUGGGAAUAAACCCUCUUUCCCUCCCUUGGAGAGGAAGAGAGGAUGGAGACAUUUUAACUCUCAGUCAAUAGUGUGCCACUCAAAGGCAACAUGUGGGUUCAAGACCCUUUCUUUUGUGGGGAUGUUGGACUGUAUGCAUUGUAUUGGAAUCUGGUGAAUUGGCCUUGUGGGUCAAGUCGCUAGCUACCAAAAGGUGGACUGCCACAGCAUUGGCGUGAUUGCUGGAGUGAGACCAGAGACAGGGGAGAGUUGACACCCAGGGACAUGACUAUUAGGUGGCAACCACACAUAGGCCUAUCCCCCAUCACAAUUUGGCAGAGAAAGCAGGCAGCAGGUCUGGAAUGUUGCCAUGAGGCCCCCAAAAGAGAAAAAGGAUAGAUCUGAAUGAAUGAAGUGGCUAUUAGACAGCGAACAACAACAGGCAGCCCCCACUGUAGCAACAACAGUAGCAUGUGGUACAACAAAUGGCUACCCAGGAGCAACAACAGGUGACAUAACAAGCAGCUCAUUCAGGAGUUGGCAGUGCAGCAAUAAGAACAGCAGCAAUGCAUUGUCCAACAAAUAGUUACCCUCUGUGAUGGGGUGUACUUGCCCCACACUGAACAGGGAAGGGUUAACUCCACACUGUGGGCUGAGGAAGCCAUGCCCCCUCAACUCUGCUGGGCAUGCUCCAACUGGAGCACCAGUAUAAAAAGGAGCAGCUCAGCUCAGUCAGGGCUGACCACUGAGGAUUGAGGACACACAUGGCCAGCUCCAACCCAGGAGCUGGAAGCCCCAGAUACUGGAAGCCAGGCCUACUGAGGCCUGGGCAGAUACCUGCUACCUGAAGAUACCCAAGGGAGGACAGAGAUGCUGAGAGCUGCACAGACUGAGAAACCGGAGACUCUGGAAACACCCACUCCAGUUCUUUAGGAUCUGAGGGAAUUAAGGACAGUCUCACAUACACCUCUACCUCGAUAUAACGCUGUCCUCGGGAGCCAAAAAAUCUUAACACGUUAUAGGUGAAACCGCAUUAUAUCAUACUUGCUUUGAUCCGCCGGAGCAUGACGCUCCGCCCCCCUGGAAUGCUGCUUUCCUGCGUUAUAUCCAAAUUCAUGUUAUAUUGGGUUGCGUUAUAUCGGGGUAGAGGUGUAUUUUUAAAAUGCAGUGCUUUUUUCCUGUUUACCCAGCUACGGCAGAUACUUUUCCCUCUUAUGCAAUCUUGCAAGUAAGCUUUUAUUUGGGGUGGAUAAGGGUGUUAAGAAAAGACAUAGCAAUUUAAUAGAUGGAGGUUCAAUAACCUACAAGAUGAAAAAUUUAAGUAUCAUGUCAUUCAGGAAACAAAGACAUGCAUUGAACUCCACAAAGGAGAAGAUAUAUCCCCUUCAUUCCUCUGGAAGGCAUUUAAACCUGUGCUAGAGAGCCAAAUAAUAUCACACUCUGCCCAUAAAAGAACAAGGAACAGUCAGUUAACAAAAGAUUAGAGUUAAAGGUAAUAUCGCUCUAGAGGCGAUGCACUGAAUCGCCUAGUACAAACCAGCUCAGCAGAGCUACA